This 234-nucleotide long non-coding RNA is filed under the name Gossypium barbadense (sea-island cotton). Its description in RNAcentral is "long non-coding RNA (GBAR_LNC003185)". Lineage: Eukaryota; Viridiplantae; Streptophyta; Magnoliopsida; Malvales; Malvaceae. The record is from RNAcentral.
AGCAUAAAUAUAUUACAUUUAAUUGAAGUUAUGUACGUCUAUUUGCUUAUAAACUUACCUCGGACAAUGAAAAAUCGGUACGGAUCGACUAGUCAACAACUUUCAUUUUCCCCCAAUCCAAAUCCGAUUUCUUUGGUUCUUGAUCUAAACAUAUUCAAAUUAAGCUCGUUCAAACAUAUUUUCAUUCAAUUUAGUCCAAAAAUACAUAAAUGGUAAAAAUGCCAUUUUACCCCU